AGGACGAACGCUGGCGGCGUGCUUAACACAUGCAAGUGGAGCGACGAACCAGGGCUUGCCCUGGGGCAGAGCCGCGAACGGGUGAGUAACACGUGGGUUACCUGCCUCGAUGACCGGGACAACCCGAGGAAACCCGGGCUAAUACCGGAUGUGCCCGCAAGGGGAAAGGAAGCUUCGGCCUCCGCAUCGAAAUGGGCCCGCGGCCCAUUAGCUUGUUGGUGAGGUAACGGCUCACCAAGGCUCCGAUGGUAGCUGGUCUGAGAGGACGAUCAGCCACACUGGGACUGAGACACGGCCCAGACUCCUACGGGAGGCAGCAGUGGGGAAUCUUGCGCAAUGCGCGAAAGCGUGACGCAGCAACGCCGCGUGGGGGAAGAAGGCUUUCGGGUUGUAAACCCCUUUCAGUUGGGACGAAGCUUCGCCGGUGAACAGCCGGCCGGAGUGACGGUACCUUCACAAGAAGCACCGGCUAACUACGUGCCAGCAGCCGC
Molecule: ribosomal RNA, 491 nt
Filed under: uncultured bacterium
Lineage: Bacteria
Description: SSU rRNA
Rfam family: Bacterial small subunit ribosomal RNA
Source: RNAcentral